Molecule: transfer RNA, 71 nt
Filed under: Ipomoea nil (Japanese morning glory)
Lineage: Eukaryota; Viridiplantae; Streptophyta; Magnoliopsida; Solanales; Convolvulaceae
Rfam family: tRNA
About the family: Transfer RNA (tRNA) molecules are approximately 80 nucleotides in length. Their secondary structure includes four short double-helical elements and three loops (D, anti-codon, and T loops). Further hydrogen bonds mediate the characteristic L-shaped molecular structure. tRNAs have two regions of fundamental functional importance: the anti-codon, which is responsible for specific mRNA codon recognition, and the 3' end, to which the tRNAs corresponding amino acid is attached (by aminoacyl-tRNA synthetases). tRNAs cope with the degeneracy of the genetic code in two manners: having more than one tRNA (with a specific anti-codon) for a particular amino acid; and 'wobble' base-pairing, i.e. permitting non-standard base-pairing at the 3rd anti-codon position.
Source: Rfam by way of RNAcentral
GCACUAGUGGUUUAGUGGUAGAAUAGUACCCUGCCACGGUACAGACUCAGGUUUAAUUCUCGGGUAGUGCA